UACGGAGUGUGCAAGCGUUAUUCGGAAUCACUGGGCUUAAAGAGUCCGUAGGCGGCUUGUUAGGUGAGGUGUGAAAUCCCUCGGCCCAACCGAGGAAUUGCGCUUGAAACCGGCAAGCUAGAGGAGGAUAGAGGUGGGCGGAACUGAUGGUGGAGCGGUGAAAUGCGUUGAUAUCAGCAGGAACAUCGGAGGCGAAGGCGGUCCACUGGGUCGUUUCUGACGCUGAGGGACGAAAGCUAGGGGAGCGAACGGG
This 253-nucleotide ribosomal RNA is filed under the name uncultured bacterium. Its description in RNAcentral is "partial 16S ribosomal RNA". It matches the Rfam family "Bacterial small subunit ribosomal RNA", at positions 524 to 776 of the family's 1533-position model. The record is from RNAcentral.